UACGGAAGGUCCUGGCGUUAUCCGGAAUUACUGGGUGUAAAGGGUGUGUAGGCGGGGCGCCAAGUCAGAUGUGAAAAUUACGGGCUCAACCCGUAACCUGCGUCUGAAACUGGUGCUCUUGAGAGUGGGAGAGGUAAACGGAAUUCCUGGUGUAGCGGUGAAAUGCGUAGAUAUCAGGAGGAACACCGGUGGCGAAGGCGGUUUACUGGACUACAACUGACGCUGAGACACGAAAGCGUGGGGAGCAAAC
Molecule: ribosomal RNA, 250 nt
Filed under: uncultured prokaryote
Description: partial 16S ribosomal RNA
Rfam family: Bacterial small subunit ribosomal RNA
Source: RNAcentral